This 654-nucleotide ribosomal RNA is filed under the name Salmonella enterica. RNAcentral describes it as "partial 23S ribosomal RNA". It matches the Rfam family "Bacterial large subunit ribosomal RNA", at positions 1 to 688 of the family's 2925-position model. Lineage: Bacteria; Pseudomonadati; Pseudomonadota; Gammaproteobacteria; Enterobacterales; Enterobacteriaceae. The record is from RNAcentral. RNAcentral also lists the same sequence under 1 other name.
GGGUUGUGAGGUUAAGCGACUAAGCGUACACGGUGGAUGCCCUGGCAGUCAGAGGCGAUGAAGGGCGUGCUAAUCUGCGAUAAGCGCCGGUAAGGUGAUAUGAACCGUUAUAACCGGCGAUACCCGAAUGGGGAAACCCAGUGUGACUCGUCACACUAUCAUUAACUGAAUCCAUAGGUUAAUGAGGCGAACCGGGGGAACUGAAACAUCUAAGUACCCCGAGGAAAAGAAAUCAACCGAGAUUCCCCCAGUAGCGGCGAGCGAACGGGGAGGAGCCCAGAGCCUGAAUCAGCAUGUGUGUUAGUGGAAGCGUCUGGAAAGGCGCGCGAUACAGGGUGACAGCCCCGUACACAAAAGCGCAUGUGCUGUGAGCUCGAUGAGUAGGGCGGGACACGUGGUAUCCUGUCUGAAUAUGGGGGGACCAUCCUCCAAGGCUAAAUACUCCUGACUGACCGAUAGUGAACCAGUACCGUGAGGGAAAGGCGAAAAGAACCCCGGCGAGGGGAGUGAAAAAGAACCUGAAACCGUGUACGUACAAGCAGUGGGAGCACCCUUUGGGGUGUGACUGCGUACCUUUUGUAUAAUGGGUCAGCGACUUAUAUUCUGUAGCAAGGUUAACCGAAUAGGGGAGCCGGAGGGAAACCGAGUCUUAAC